Molecule: ribosomal RNA, 498 nt
Filed under: uncultured bacterium
Lineage: Bacteria
Description: partial 16S ribosomal RNA
Rfam family: Bacterial small subunit ribosomal RNA
Source: RNAcentral
AUUGAACGCUGGCGGCAUGCCUUACACAUGCAAGUCGAACGGUAACAGGUCUUCGGAUGCUGACGAGUGGCGAACGGGUGAGUAAUACAUCGGAACGUGCCCGAUCGUGGGGGAUAACGAAGCGAAAGCUUUGCUAAUACCGCAUACGAUCUACGGAUGAAAGCAGGGGACCGCAAGGCCUUGCGCGAACGGAGCGGCCGAUGGCAGAUUAGGUAGUUGGUGGGAUAAAAGCUUACCAAGCCGACGAUCUGUAGCUGGUCUGAGAGGACGACCAGCCACACUGGGACUGAGACGCGGCCCAGACUCCUACGGGAGGCAGCAGUGGGGAAUUUUGGACAAUGGGCGAAAGCCUGAUCCAGCCAUGCCGCGUGCAGGAUGAAGGCCUUCGUGUUGUAAACUGCUUUUGUACGGAACGAAAAGACUCUGGUUAAUACCUGGGGUCCAUGACGGUACCGUAAGAAUAAGCACCGGCUAACUACGUGCCAGCAGCCGCCGUAA